AUGGGAAUGCCAUUACGUAGAACUCCUGUAGUAUUAGCGUUGUUAUCCUUCUCAUGUGACUAUCUUUCUCUUGAUUGCCCGACUUCCUUGCACCUGGACUGUUUGUCAGGACUUGAUUUUUCUCGAAUCUGCUGCUUUCAUUCUUGUGCAACCUGGACUAUUGUUUAUCAAUAUAUCCCAAUGCGAUGUCAUUUCUCUUUCUUGUUUGAACUAUUGUUGUGCACAGCAUUUUUUUUUGAAGUGCAGUUCAUCUUAUCUGUCAAUGCUGCUCGCAAGAUGUUCAGAUGUUUAUCACCUGGACUUGUUUUUUUUAUUUCUGUUUUCAAAGGGAUGACAUCGGAAAACGACAAGGUUACAACUCUUUCAAAGAAGCAUAAGCGUGCAGGGUUUCUUUCAAAGAACCGUAAGCUCAAGUGUGUGAGGUGA
RNAcentral lists this ribosomal RNA (426 nucleotides) under Triticum aestivum (bread wheat). RNAcentral's name for it is "partial small subunit ribosomal RNA". Lineage: Eukaryota; Viridiplantae; Streptophyta; Magnoliopsida; Poales; Poaceae. The record is from RNAcentral.